AUGACGCUGGCGGCAGGCUUACCACAUGCAAGUCGAGCGGUAGCACAGGGGAGCUUGCUCCCUGGGUGACGAGCGGCGGACGGGUGAGUAAUGUCUGGGAAACUGCCUGAUGGAGGGGGAUAACUACUGGAAACGGUAGCUAAUACCGCAUAACGUCGCAAGACCAAAGAGGGGGACCUUCGGGCCUCUUGCCAUCAGAUGUGCCCAGAUGGGAUUAGCUAGUAGGUGGGGUAAUGGCUCACCUAGGCGACGAUCCCUAGCUGGUCUGAGAGGAUGACCAGCCACACUGGAACUGAGACACGGUCCAGACUCCUACGGGAGGCAGCAGUGGGGAAUAUUGCACAAUGGGCGCAAGCCUGAUGCAGCCAUGCCGCGUGUGUGAAGAAGGCCUUCGGGUUGUAAAGCACUUUCAGCGAGGAGGAAGGUGGUGAACUUAAUACGUUCAUCAAUUGACGUUACUCGCAGAAGAAGCACCGGCUAACUCCGUGCCAGCAGCGGCGGUAAUACGGAGGGUGCAAGCGUUAAUCGCAAUUACUGGGCGUAAAGCGCACGCAGGCGGUUUGUUAACUCAGAUGUGAAUCCCCGGCUCACCUGGGGACUGCAUUUGGAAGCUGGCAAGCUAGAGUCUCUAAAGGGGGGUACAAUUCCCGGUGUACGG
Molecule: ribosomal RNA, 658 nt
Filed under: Serratia sp. HPC1388
Lineage: Bacteria; Pseudomonadati; Pseudomonadota; Gammaproteobacteria; Enterobacterales; Yersiniaceae
Description: bacterial SSU rRNA
Rfam family: Bacterial small subunit ribosomal RNA
Source: RNAcentral